AGGCGUAAUCUGCCCGAAGGCGCUUUCAGUUUUUCCUCCAAGGACCUGUUUGUUGAAGUUUUAUUCACAGAUUGGUCCCUGGUGUUCAACACCUCAUAACUCCGCAACCGUAACUCUGAUUGAGGUGAAUCCAACGCCCACUUCUUCGUCUCGUCAAACCCGUUCUUUCAUAACCAUUUUCACUAUGUUUCAACAUUCUAGAAAUGACCAUUUUGCCCUUGCCCCUAAUCAGCCCCCUCCGAGAGAGAACCCAUUUCGGCGAUUCUUUCCGCGGCUUCACCGCACUUCUCCCCGGAGCCUCCUUCAUCCCCAGGAAAGACACAACCACCAUUUGCAUGAUAGCCAUGCAGAAGCAUGGGUUUUCAACUUGAAUCUUUAAUAACUUUUUGUUUGCUUUGCUGCUGAUGUCGGUAUUUCGGUUAUGCUUAUGGAUCGGUGUUUACCGGCAUGCUAUGUUUUCAUCCAUGCUGUUAUUAUGUUAUUCAUGCUAGUAUUACUUUAAUAUUGGCAAUGUUUGGUAGUAGUAAAUGUUGGUGAUGGUCUUCGGUGCCUGACGAUUGUCUGUUCCGAGUACCGGUUUUAUGCCUGUUCCUUUGCAUCCAGUUGACUAAAUACUUGCAUGGUAGUUUUAUCGUUAUGUUAUUGCAUGGUAUUUAUUGUUGAUGCUAAUGGUCAUGUUAUGCUAUGAGUAGUAUUCUAGUUGUGAUAUCUAUGCUCGUCAGUAUGCCAUGCUCAUCUCAAUAAAUGGUUAAAUGUCGUUGUUAUGCUUGUUGAUUGGGAUGCACCCCCAUGCUUAUGUUAAUAUCAUGUUCAUGCAUUGUAGUUGCAUCAGGUUAUUUUUAUCAUGACUCGGCAUUUUGCAUUCAAGAUUAACCGGAUUAAAUUGAACUUGAACAACUGUUGGCUGAGUCAUGCUGCCAUGAUACGUCUCCAACGUAUCUAUAAUUUUUGAUUUUCCAUGCUAUAUUAUAUUUUGUUUUGGAUGAUUAAUGGGCUUUGUUAUACAAUUUUAUAUUAUUUUUGGGACUAACCUAUUAACCGGAGGCCCAGCCCAAGUAGCAGUUUUUUGCCUAUUUCAGUGUUUCGUUUAGAUAGCAUUAGCCGCUUUUCUUCCUUUCCAGAAAAAAUAUAUCAAACGGAGUCCAAACGGAAUGAAACCUUCGGGAACGUGAUUUCUGGAACAAACAUGAUCCAGAGGACUUGGAGUGGAUGUCAAGCAACACACGAGGCGGCCACGAGGUAGGGGGCACGCCCCCCAGGCGCGCCCUCCACCCUCGUGGGCCCCUCGUGGCUCCACCGACCUACUUCUUCCUCCUAUAUAUACCUACGUACCCCGAAACCAUCAGAGGCAUCCAUGAAAACCUAAUUCCACCGCCGCAACCUUCUGUACCCGUGAGAUCCCAUCUCGGGGCCCUUUCCGGAGUCCUGCCGGAGGGGCCAUUGAUCACGGAGGGCUUCUACAUCAACACCAUAGCCUCUCCGAUGAUGUGUGAGUAGUUUACCUCAGACCUUCGGGUCCAUAGUUAUUAGCUAGAUGGCUUCUUCUCUCUCUUUGGAUCUCAAUACAAAGUUCUCCUCGAUUCUCUUGAAGAUCUAUUUGAUGUAACUCUUCUUUUUGCGGUGUGUUUGUCGAGACCAAUGAAUUGUGGGUUUAUGAUCAAGAUUAUCUAUGAACAAUAUUUGAAUCUCCUCUAAAUUCUUUUAUGUAUGAUUGGUUAUCUUUGCAAGUCUCUUCGAAUUACCAGUUUGGUUUGGCCUACUAGAUUGAUCUUUCUUGCAAUGGGAGAAGUGCUUAGCUUUGGGUUCAAUCUUGCGGUGCUCGAUCCCAGUGACAGAAAGGGAAACGACGCGUAUUGUAUUGUUGCCAUCGAGGAUAAAAAGAUGGGGUUUAUAUCAUAUUGCAUGACUUUAUCCCUCUACAUCAUGUCAUCUUACUUAAAGCAUUACUCUGUUCUUAUGAACUUAAUACUCUAGAUGCAUGCUGGAUAGCGGUCGAUGUGUGGACUAAUAGUAGUAGAUGCAGAAUCGUUUCGGUCUACUUGUCGCCGACGUGAUGCCUAUAUACAUGAUCAUACCUAGAUAUUCUCAUAACUAUGCUCAAUUCUAUCAAUUGCUCGACAGUAAUUUGUUCACCCACCGUAAUACUUAUGCUAUCUUGAGAGAAGCCACUAGUGAAACCUAUGGCCCCGGGUCUAUUUUCCAUUAUAUUAAUCUUUCCUCACUUAGCUAUUUCUGGCGCCGUUUAUUUUUCUUUCAUUACUUUGCAUCUUUAUCAUUAAAAUACCUAAAAUAUUAUCUUACCAUAUCUAUCAGAUCUCACUCUCAUAAGUGACCGUGAAGGGAUUGACAACCCUUUUAUUAUGUUGGUUGCGAGGUUCUUAUUUGUUUGUGUAGGUACGAGGGACUUGUGCGUGGUCUCCUACUGGAUUGAUACCUUGGUUCUCAAAAACUGAGGGAAAUACUUACGCUACUUUACUGCAUCACCCUUUCCUCUUCAAGGGAAAACCAACGCAGUGCUCAAGAGGUAGCAAGAAGGAUUUCUGGCGCCGUUGCCGGGGAGAUCUACACGAAAGUCAACAUACCAAGUACCCAUCACAAACUCUUAUCCCCCGCAUUACAUUAUUUGCCAUUUGCCUCUCGUUUUCCUCUCCCCCACUUCACCCUUGUUGUUUUAUUCGCCCUCUCUUUUCCGUUCGCCUCCCUCUUUCACUUGCUCCUCGCAUUUUCUGCCGUUAUGUCUGAAAUUGGGGAAAUUAUUAUCGAUAUGGACAAUAAUAAUAACAUGGAAAAUUCUGAUGCUCCUGCUGAAGAACCCCCUAUCUUACAUACAAAAAAAUUCCGAAUCAGUAGUGGUAAUAUUAUUGGAAAAGGGGUUAUUCAAGAUUUCUUUACUUGUGCCGGUGCUUUGCCUUCUAUGGGUAGUUCUAUUCUCCAUAGAACUAGUAGUCUUGCGGACGCUAUCUCCAUGCUUAUAGUUGAACUUGAAAGGCAAUUUAUGCACAUGCAUCCUUGCAUACAAAGGAUUUUUCUAGAAUUUUCUAAUAUUGAGCAUUCUUCUUUAAAGCGCGCCGCUACUAUCUUUUUGGCACAUGAAUUCAGAUUUAUAAUAAAAGAGGCCAAAGAAAUCUUUGCGCACUGUAGGGUGGACGCUGGUCGUCCUCCCAUAGAGGCAAUCCACUUUGAUCAAGAGGAAAUAAUGUGUUUUCAAUCUUUAGACUAUGUUGCUUUUAAUGAAAACCUUAGAAAAAAGGUUCCUACCAAUGUUCUAGUUGAUAGAAUUUCUGAACUUAAUAAUGAUUUUGCUAUCCGAAAUAAUGAGCUAGGAUAUUCUCUCGAAUAUAGGCUCACGAAGUUCUGCCAAAAGAAUGCUUAUAAUGAUGAAUUGGUUGUGCCAUAUGAAGGGCCGAAGGAGGAACCUAUACCUCCCAAAAUUGAUCUUGGGGACUUCUGUCCCAUUAAAUUUAGACCUUUUGAUUACUUUUGCUUGCCUCAAAGAAAACUACCUGCUGAACGUAGAGAAUAUGAAAUGAGUUUUCGUGAUCUAUCCUAUUAUUAUGGCAAUACCUAGAUCUAUCCUUGCUUUUAUGCCUAGCUAGGGCGUUAAACGAUAGCGCUUGUUGGGAGGCAACCCAAUUUUAUUUUAGUUUUUUUUGCUUUUUGCUUCUGUUUAGGAUUAAAUCUUUGAUCUAGCCUCUGGUUAGAUUUGUUUUUAUGUUUUAAUUAGUGUUUGUGCCAAGUUAAACCUAUAGGAUCUUCUUGGAUGAUAGUUAUUUGAUCUUGCUGAAAAUUCCAGAAACUUUCUGUUCACGAAAACAAUUAUUAAAAAUCACCAGAACGUGAUAAAAUAUUUAUUCCAAUUGCAGCAGAUCAAUAAACAAAUGUUUUAGGUAUUCCUAUUUUGGUAGAUUUUUUUAGUUUCAGAAGUUUGCGUUAGUUACAGAUUACUACAGACUGUUCUGUUUUUGACAGAUUCUGUUUUUCGUGUGUUGUUUGCUUAUUUUGAUGAAUCUAUGGCUAGUAAAAUAGUUUAUAAACCAUACAGAAGUUGGAAUACAGUAGGUUAACACCAAUAUAAAUAAAGAAUGAGUUCGUUACAGUACCUUGAAGUGGUGUUUUGUUUUCUUUCGCUAACGGAGCUUACGAGAUUUUCUGUUGAGUUUUGUGUUGUGAAGUUUUCAAGUUUUGGGUAAAAGAUUUGAUGGAUUAUGGAACAAGGAGUGGCAAGAGCCUAAGGUUGGGGAUGCCCAUGGCACCCCAAGGUAAUCUAAGGACACCAAAAAGCCAAAGCUUGGGGAUGCCCCGGAAGGCAUCCCCUCUUUCGUCUUCGUCCAUCGGUAACUUUACUUGGAGCUAUAUUUUUAUUCACCACAUGUUAAGUGUUUUGCUUGGAGCGUCUUGUAUGAUUUGAGCCUUUGCUUUUUAGUUUACCACAUUCAUCCUUGCUGUACACACCUUUUGAGAGAGACACACAUGAUUCGGAAUUUAUUAGAAUACUCUAUGUGCUUCACUUAUAUCUUUUGAGUUAUAUAGUUUUUGCUCUAGUGCUUCACUUACAUCUUUUAGAGCAUGGUGGUGGUUUUGUUUUAUAGAAAUUAUUGUUCUCUCAUGCUUCACUUAUACUAUUUUGAGAGUCCUACAAAACAGCAUGGUAAUUUGCUUAAAUUGGGAAAUUAGUCCUAAUAUGCUAGGUAUUCAAGAUUAGUAAAAACUUUCUUAUGCCUGUGUUGAAUACUAAGAAAAGUUUGAUGCUUGAUGAUUGUUUUGAGAUAUGGAGGUAGUGAUAUUAAAGUUGUGCUAGUUGAGUAGUUGUGAAUUUGAGAAAUACUUGUGUUAAAGUUGGCAAGUCCCGUAGCAUGCACGUAUGGUAAACGUUAUGUAACAAAUUUGAAACAUGAGGUGUUCUUUGAUUGUCCUCCUUAUGAGUGGCGGUCGGGGACGAGCGAUGGUCUUUUCCUACCAAUCUAUCCCCCUAGGAGCAUGCGCGUAGUGCUUGGUUUUUGAUGACUUGUAGAUUUUUGGAAUAAGUAUGUGAGUUCUUUAUGACUAAUGUUGAGUCCAUGGAUUAUACGCACUCUUAUCCUUCCAUCAUUGCUAGCCUCUUCGGUACCGUGCAUUGCCCUUUCUCACCUUGAGAGUUGGUGCAAACUUCGCCGGUGCAUCCAAACCCCGUGAUACAAUGCGCUCUAUCACACAUAAACCUCCUUAUAUCUUCCUCAAAACAGCCACCAUACCUACCUAUCAUGGCAUUUCCAUAGCCAUUCCGAGAUAUAUUGCCAUGCAACUUUCCACCGUUCCGUUUAUCAUGACACGUUUCAUCAUUGUCAUAUUGCCUUGGAUGAUCAUGUAGUUGACAUCAUAUUUGUGGGAAAGCCAACAUUCAUAAUUUUUCAUACAUGUCACUCUUGAUUCGUUGCCCAUCCCGGUACACCGCCGGAGGCAUUCAUAUAGAGUCAUACUUUGUUCUAGUAUCGAGUUGUAAUCAUUGAGAUGUAAAUAAAUAGAAGUGUGAUGAUCAUCAUUCAUAGAGCAUUGUCCCAACAAAAAAAGGCCAAAUAAAAAAAGGCCCAAUAUAUAUAUAUAUAUAUAUAUAUAAAGGGUCAAUGCUACUAUCCUUUUCCCACACUUGUCCUUCAAAGUAGCACCAUGAUCUUCCUGAUAGAGAGUCUCUUGUUUUGUCACUUUCAUAUACUAGUGGGAAUUUUUCAUUAUAGAACUUGGCUUGUAUAUUCCAACAAUGGGCUCCCUCAAAUGCACUAGGUCUUCGUGAGCAAGCAAGUUGGAUGCACACCCACUUAGUUUCUUUUCGUUGAGCUUUCAUGCAUUUAUAGCUCUAGUGCAUCCGUUGCAUGGCAAUCCCUACUCCUUGCAUUAACAUCAAUCAUUGGGCAUCUCCCUAGCCCGUUGAUUAGCCGCGUUAAUGUGAGACUUUCUCCUUUUUUGUCUUCUCCACAUACCCCCCAAUAUUAUAUUUUAUUCCACCCAUAGUGCUAUAUCCAUGGCUCACGCUCAUGUAUUGCGUGAAGGUUGAAAAAGUUUGAGAUUACUAAAGUAUGAAACAAUUGCUUGGCUUAUCACCAGGGUUGUGCAUGAUGAGAGCAUUCUUGUGUGACGAAAAUGGAGCAUGACCAAACCAUAUGAUUUUGUAGGGAUGAACUUUCUUUGGCCAUGUUAUUUUUAGAAGACAUAAUUGCUUAGUUAGUAUGCUUGAAGUAUUAUUAUUUUUAUGUCAAUAUUAAACUUUUAUCUGGAAUCUUUCGGAUCUGAAUAUUCAUACCACAAUUAAGAGGGUUACAUUGAAAAUUAUGCCAAGUAGCAUUCCACAUAAAAAAUUUUGUUUUUAUCAUUUACCUACUCGAGGACGAGCAGGAAUUAAGCUUGGGGAUGCUUGAUACAUCUCCAACGUAUCUAUAAUUUUUUAUUGUUCCAUGCUAUAUUAUAUUCUGUUUUGGAUGAUUAAUGGGCUUUGUUAUACACUUUUAUAUUAUUUUUGGGACUAACCUAUUAACCGGAGGCCCAGCCAAAAUUGCUGUUUUUUACCUAUUUCAGUGUUUCGGGGAAAAAGAAUAUCAAACGGAGUCCAAACGGAAAGAAACUUUCGGGAACGUGAUUUGUGGAACAAACGUGAUCCAGAGGACUUGGAGUGGACGUCAAGCAACAGACAAGGCGGCCACGAGGUAGGGGGCGCCCCCCAAGGCGCGCCCUCCACCCUCGUGGGCCCCUCAUGGCUCCACUGACCUACUUCUUCCUCCUAUAUAUACCUACGUACCCCCAAACCAUCAGAGGCAUCCACGAAAACCUAAUUCCACCGCCGCAACCUUCUGUACCCGUGAGAUCCCAUCUUGGGGCCUUUUCCGGCGUCCUGCCGGAGGGGGCAUUGAUCACGGAGGGCUUCUACAUCAACACCGUAGCCUCUCUGAUGAUGUGUGAGUAGUUUACCCCAGACCUUCGGGUCCAUAGUUAUUAGCUAGAUGGCUUCCUCUCUCUCUUUGGAUAUUAAUACAAAGUUCUCCUCGAUUCUCUUGGAGAUCUAUUUGAUGUAACUCUUCUUUUUGUCUUGUGUUUGUCGAGACCGAUGAAUUGUGGGUUUAUGAUCAAGAUUAUCUAUGAACAAUAUUUGAAUCUCCUCUGAAUUCUUUUAUGUAUGAUUGGUUAUCUUUGCAAGUCUCUUCGAAUUAUCAGUUUGGUUUGGCCUACUAGAUUGAUCUUUCUUGCAAUGGGAGAAGUGCUUAGCUUUGGGUUCAAUCUUGCGGUGCUCGAUCCCAGUGACAGAAAGGGAAACGAC
Molecule: long non-coding RNA, 7282 nt
Filed under: Triticum aestivum (bread wheat)
Lineage: Eukaryota; Viridiplantae; Streptophyta; Magnoliopsida; Poales; Poaceae
Description: long non-coding RNA (TAES_LNC004279)
Source: RNAcentral